Schistosoma mansoni is the source of this 45-nucleotide non-coding RNA. NCBI's taxonomy places the organism in Eukaryota, Metazoa, Platyhelminthes, Trematoda, Strigeidida, Schistosomatidae. The record is from Rfam.
AUUCAGCUGACGAGUCCCAAAUAGGACUAAACGCGCUUCCUGGGU